UUUCCGUAGGUGAACCUGCGGAAAGGAUCAUUA
RNAcentral lists this ribosomal RNA (33 nucleotides) under fungal sp. H1131. RNAcentral's name for it is "partial 18S ribosomal RNA". The record is from RNAcentral. Lineage: Eukaryota; Fungi.